This 2026-nucleotide long non-coding RNA is filed under the name Homo sapiens (human). RNAcentral describes it as "HSALNT0370043". The stretch from base 522 to 724 matches the Rfam family "Rhabdomyosarcoma 2 associated transcript conserved region 6". The record is from RNAcentral. Lineage: Eukaryota; Metazoa; Chordata; Mammalia; Primates; Hominidae.
ACUCAUAGGCAUCACCAACAUAGCACAGAGGUAGAGAAGAAAAUAUUAAUACAAGGGCAUCUGAAAAAGGAGCUGUGAUCAAUUUUCUAAAACUUUCCUUAAAUUUCUAAUAUCCUGUAGCCUUAACAUUGGGAUUGCAGUCCUCCCUGUUGCAACUUAGCACAUACCCUACUGUCUGAACUCAAAACCCUAGGAACUACUGUCUGAGAUCUGAAUGUAUUCUUGGUUCCAAAUCAAUCUUGUCACUCCUCGGAAAGCAAUGCAAGAUAAUAAGUAGUAUUCACCUGAUUGCUUUCCUGCUCCGAGACAGCUGGUGACGCAUGUCUUCCUGAUAACCAGGAGUUUCAGAUCUAAGGCAGGGAUAAAGGGAAACUGGAAGCUCUCGGAAUCUAAAUGUGACAGUCGAUGGCUGAGGAGAGGGUCAGAAGGAAUAGAAUCUGUGACACGUAUGAGAAAGGAACAAAAUUUAUCUGCUCUGGUUGCAAUGAUUAGAUGUCUCUUUGUCUGGCUUUCCUUGCAGUGGGUGACUGAUCGUACCCGCCAGCUGGCUAAUGUCAUAAUUAACAAAGUUGCUACUACAUCUGCAAAGUUUAAUCGAAAAAUUUGCCAGUGAUAUGAUGGCCUUGUCACAGAGAUCACAAGGGACACGGAGUUGACUUUUGCUCAAGGUGGAACGACAGAGCUGUGUAGGCAAGAUGAGAAAUUGCGAACUUGUUCGGCCAAAGGAGGCUAAUAAUGAAGGGGCCGGGAAGGAGGCCAGUGCUACCAGGGUUAUCUCACAACCUCAGAUGCUGGAUAAGUCGACGGAGGCAGAAUCGCUUUGGGAUGACAUUCAGAAAGCCUGGAGUGAUUACUUGCAAGAGAAAAGCCUACCUAUUCUUUCCAAGGUGCAGGAAUAUUCCCCUGACCUGCUCAUCCAGUGGUCCAGUAAUGAAUUACUGGAGACCUGCCUUAGACAAAGAAUGCACUCGGAGCCCCAACACACCUAAAGCCAUGCUUUGAAGGAUCUGCCAAGCUCACUUUUAAUCAUGAGAAAGAAAUUACCCACACGGAGUCAGCAGAAAAUGAGAAAGUAGAGCUCGUGCUGUGAAUAAUUCCAGCAAGUGCCAAGGGGCUAGUUGAGGAAUGGCUUCAUGAGAACAUGCUCUAGGGGAACUAUUAAUAGCCCACCAGUCGGGUAGGCAGCAUUCAAUCCUUCUAUGCCUUCUUUCGCCACCUGUUGAGGUCUUUCUUCUGAAACAAAGAAGAAAUAGACAAAUCAGACUUGCCCUCUUGGAAAUGUGGUCCAGAUUUCUCUACUCCCAAGCUCCAAAAAAGGUAUACAUUGGAUGGGCUAGAUCAACUCCUCCUGAGAGCCAUAAAUCCGCCAAGAGUUGUUUUCCAUGUAAGGGUGUGGUACAAUGGGGAACACCUGAUGUUGGAGGAAAGCAGGAGGACUUUAGAGUGGAGUUGCAUUCUAAUCUCUCUGCCGCUUCAACUAUGUGACCUGGGGCAAAUGAUAUAAACUCUAUGAGCCUCUUUCCUUAUCUUUAAAAUGAAGAGAAGUAAUACCUACCUUGUAGGGCUGUUGUGAGGAUUAAAUGAAGUAAUGCAUACAGUGCCUAACAAAGUAUUUAACAUCAUAUUUUUUAAAAGCUCAUGAAAUAUUAGUUUUUCUUCCUUCCCCUCUUUCUAUUUUCUCUCCUGUUCCCUUUUCUCUCCCUCCUCUGCCCUCUCCUUCCUUCAGAUGUUAGUCUAAAACAGCACCUUGGAUCUAAGCAGCACCUUUGAGAAAGAAAAGACUGCUUCAAGAAUGUCUAGUUGCACCUCCUUUCCGUAUGUGGCCUAAAUGCCUAGGUUGGAUCAAUAGUUUAAUUUUUUUAUUGAACUGUUUAAUAUUGACUAUGGACUUACAUUCACUUUUACUGUUUUCUGUAUAUUUACUUUUGCUUGAAGUGUUUUAAUAUUGACUAUUUACCUCUGCUCAUUUUUAUUGAUUUUCUGUAUUUUUUCAAUGAAAAUUAUAAUAAAAAUUAUUUUUGUUAUC